AUACGGAGGGUCCGAGCGUUAUCCGGAUUUAUUGGGUUUAAAGGGUGCGUAGGCGGUUUUAUAAGUCAGCGGUGAAAUUUUCCGGCUCAACCGGGAUACUGCCGUUGAUACUGUAAGGCUAGGAUAUGGUUGCUGUGGGUGGAAUGUGUGGUGUAGCGGUGAAAUGCUUAGAUAUCACGAAGAACUCCGAUUGCGAAGGCAGCUUACUAAGCUGUAACUGACAUUGAGGCUCGAAAGUGUGGAUAUC
RNAcentral lists this ribosomal RNA (247 nucleotides) under uncultured bacterium. RNAcentral's name for it is "partial 16S ribosomal RNA". It matches the Rfam family "Bacterial small subunit ribosomal RNA", at positions 523 to 769 of the family's 1533-position model. The record is from RNAcentral.